This 605-nucleotide ribosomal RNA is filed under the name Colletotrichum truncatum. RNAcentral describes it as "eukaryotic LSU rRNA". The stretch from base 235 to 388 matches the Rfam family "5.8S ribosomal RNA". The record is from RNAcentral. Lineage: Eukaryota; Fungi; Ascomycota; Sordariomycetes; Glomerellales; Glomerellaceae.
GAGGAAGUAAAAGUCGUAACAAGGUCUCCGUUGGUGAACCAGCGGAGGGAUCAUUACUGAGUUACCGCUCAUCAACCCUUUGUGAACAUACCUUAACUGUUGCUUCGGCGGGUAGGCGUCCCCUAAAAAGGACGUCUCCCGGCCCUCUCCCGUCCGCGGGUGGGGCGCCCGCCGGAGGAUAACCAAACUCUGAUUUAACGACGUUUCUUCUGAGUGACACAAGCAAAUAAUCAAAACUUUUAACAACGGAUCUCUUGGUUCUGGCAUCGAUGAAGAACGCAGCGAAAUGCGAUAAGUAAUGUGAAUUGCAGAAUUCAGUGAAUCAUCGAAUCUUUGAACGCACAUUGCGCCCGCCAGCAUUCUGGCGGGCAUGCCUGUUCGAGCGUCAUUUCAACCCUCAAGCUCUGCUUGGUGUUGGGGCUCUACGGUUGACGUAGGCCCUUAAAGGUAGUGGCGGACCCUCUCGGAGCCUCCUUUGCGUAGUAACAUUUCGUCUCGCAUUGGGAUUCGGAGGGACUCUAGCCGUAAAACCCCCAAUUUUACUAAGGUUGACCUCGGAUCAGGUAGGAAUACCCGCUGAACUUAAGCAUAUCAAUAAGCGGAGG